CUACUACUCCCUCCGUCCGAAAAUACUUGUCAUCGAAAUGGAUGGAUCUAGAUGUAUUUUAGUUCUAGACACAUCCAUUUUGAUGAAAAGUAAUUCCGGAUGGAGGGAAUAUUAU
This is a non-coding RNA of Triticum aestivum (bread wheat), 115 nucleotides long. The record is from Rfam. NCBI's taxonomy places the organism in Eukaryota, Viridiplantae, Streptophyta, Magnoliopsida, Poales, Poaceae.